This 206-nucleotide ribosomal RNA is filed under the name uncultured bacterium. Its description in RNAcentral is "partial 16S ribosomal RNA". It matches the Rfam family "Bacterial small subunit ribosomal RNA", at positions 568 to 774 of the family's 1533-position model. The record is from RNAcentral.
CGCGUAGGCGGGAUGGCAAGUCGGUCGUGAAAUCCCUCGGCUCAACUGAGGAACGUCGAUCGAUACUGCUGUUCUUGAGGAUUGCAGAGGAGACUGGAAUUCCCGGUGUAGCGGUGAAAUGUGUAGAGAUCGGGAGGAACACCGGUGGCGAAGGCGGGUCUCUGGGCAAUUCCUGACGCUGAGGCGCGGAAGCGUGGGAGCAAACG